GUAGGGAAUCUUGCGCAAUGGGGGAAACCCUGACGCAGCGACGCCGCGUGAGUGAUGAAGGACUUCGGUUCGUAAAGCUCUGUCGCAUGGGAAUAAUCUUGAAGGUACCAUGUAAGAAAGGAUCGGCUAACUUCGUGCCAGCAGCCGCGGUAAGACGAGGGAUCCAAGCGUUGUUCGGAAUCAUUGGGCGUAAAGCGGACGUAGGCGGCUUUUCAAGUCGGAUGUGAAAUCCCUGGGCUUAACCCAGGAAGUGCAUUCGAUACUGUUAAGCUUGAGUGUGGGAGAGGCUAGUAGAAUUCCUGGUGUAGUGGUGAAAUACGUAGAUAUCAGGAGGAACACCGGUGGCGAAGGCGGCUAGCUGGCCCAACACUGACGCUGAGGUCCGAAAGCGUGGGGAUCAAACAGGAUUAGAUACCCUUGUAGUCC
Molecule: ribosomal RNA, 426 nt
Filed under: uncultured bacterium
Lineage: Bacteria
Description: bacterial SSU rRNA
Rfam family: Bacterial small subunit ribosomal RNA
Source: RNAcentral